RNAcentral lists this long non-coding RNA (1164 nucleotides) under Macaca mulatta (Rhesus monkey). RNAcentral describes it as "lncRNA (ENSMMUG00000059209.1)". Lineage: Eukaryota; Metazoa; Chordata; Mammalia; Primates; Cercopithecidae. The record is from RNAcentral.
GAGGCUUUCUCGAGCAAAAUUUUAGUUUGAUGUAAUACAUUUUAUGUUUUAAAGUUUAGUAAGAAUCAUUCUAACAGUGACCUGAGCGAUUCAUGAAUGAACUUAACACCAAAUAUGGCAAUAGAUAAUAUUUAGGGUUUUAAAGUUUCCCCCUUCUCUUAGGCUGAAAGACUGUAUGAGCAGUUAGACUUUUACUGAGCCCACUUUUUAAUUCAGAUCUUUUAGGCCUGAAGGGUUGAACUGUAGGAGUGAUGUUCUAAGUUAUUAAUGAUCUAACCUGCCUCCUGCAGUCCACCCCAUCUCCUACUCCAUCAACUCUCUUAAUUCCUUUGUCUCUUCUCCCUUCUCUAACCAUUCCCUGUUGAGUCCACCCAAGCCUGACCACUUCAGGUGUGUUUCUGCUCCAGUCUCUAAGUUGAUCUUGUCUGAGAGAUGAAGUGUCAGGGUUUAAACUGAUUCUGUAAGAAAGGUAAUAUUUUAAUUUUAAAGGAAAAGACCAGGUUGUUCAUGUGGGGAUGCAGUCAUAAAAUGAACUCAUAUGAAUCACACAUGAAUCCUAUGCCCACUGCCCCCAUUCCUUGCCCACCGUGUGCCUUCUAUGGCAUUCCAGUUGACUAAAUAACUCAUAAACCCAUCUAGAAAUUAAAGGAAUAUAAUUGAAAGAAACUCUGAGAAUGUUUCUGUUAGAGAAAAUGCUAUAUAGCAGGAUCUCCAAAAUGUGAAUAUUUUUUGUGGUGUUGUUUUCCUUGCAGGGAAGCUGUUGAUUUGAGGAAUUUGAAGGUUUCUGGAAGAAGGAUUUGGAAAAUUUGAAGUGAACCUCUUUUGGGAAUUAAAAGUGCUAGGUCCCUUCUCAUGGGAUCGAAUAGCAGAGUCCUGGCUACGGGUUCAAAUGCCCUGCUGAAAUCCUCAGACAAUUCCAACAUCCACAAAGCUACGAAAGGAGCAAUGCCUCUGAGAACCUUGGAAAGGGGAAAGGGAGCAAUGUCAUCUGCACUCAGUCAUGGAGGAAACAGCUGGACAAGUCAGCACAGGGAGGUGGUGACCGGUAGAGGAGACUUGGAGUUCUUCAGGUACCUGGAGAUCACUGAAUACUGGCCUUCCAGACCCCUUUAUACCAGGUUCUCUAUCCUGAGGGAAAUGGCCUGCCUGAAAGGGACUAAAUGA